UAAAUACUCCCUCCGUCCCAAAAUUCUUGUCUUAAAUUUAUCUAGAUACGAAUGUAUCUAGUCACAUUUUAGCAUUUAUAUAUAUUUAUUUAUAGACAAACCUAAGACAAGAAUUUCGGGACGGAGGGAGUAUGUA
Molecule: microRNA precursor, 136 nt
Filed under: Hordeum vulgare
Lineage: Eukaryota; Viridiplantae; Streptophyta; Magnoliopsida; Poales; Poaceae
Description: microRNA MIR1122
Rfam family: MIR1120/MIR1122 microRNA precursor family
Source: RNAcentral